Varroa destructor (honeybee mite) is the source of this 668-nucleotide non-coding RNA. The record is from RefSeq and is a predicted model, not a curated record. NCBI's taxonomy places the organism in Eukaryota, Metazoa, Arthropoda, Arachnida, Mesostigmata, Varroidae.
ACGUGCAAAAUGCAAAUGACAAACGUGACGUUUUUCGUGCGCAUGGAGCGAAAAAAACUGUCGAAGAAGCGUUUAACAGAUAAGUGCUGUGCUUCACCCGUGUGCGCAUUAAUACACCAGCAUCACACAUGCUUCUGAAGAUAGUGACUUGAAAAGCAUUCAAGUGCAGGCUGGGAAUCAAACUCAGAAUCUAUUUCGUGCUAGAGAAACACUUUCCCCGUCGCCACACCACGCUUUUCUAGUGUAAAACUUCGAAAAUGUUGGUGACCGGUUGGCAAGGCGCUGUAAUAUCGGCUGUAUCAAUGUUGGCGUUGUUGUUGUUGUUGGUAUGCUCGAUGGCACCCCCCUGUUCAGGCCAGUUCUUCCCGCCUUUCGGCUCUGUGGGCGCUCCUUAUUUGGGUCAUGCUUGUUUAGCUGUAGCGGAUCCACUUACCUGUACCGCAAGUGGAUGUAUUUUUGGGACGGACUCAAUGGGGUGUGACGUCUGCACCUGUCCAGUUGGAGUGCCUAUGCCAAUGCCAGUGGGAAUGCCGAUAUUCUAACGAAAGAAAAAUCUAUAUACGUAUAUAUACAUAUACGUAUAGAAAGAAACGUAUGCGGCCGGUGUGGUUCACGGGCGCCUUAUUGCUGAAAAAAUUAAUGAAAAUAAAUAGAAAUUAUAUUUGCAU